RNAcentral lists this ribosomal RNA (467 nucleotides) under uncultured bacterium. Its description in RNAcentral is "bacterial SSU rRNA". It matches the Rfam family "Bacterial small subunit ribosomal RNA", at positions 917 to 1382 of the family's 1533-position model. The record is from RNAcentral.
GGACCCGCACAAGCAGCGGAGCAUGUGGUUUAAUUCGAAGCAACGCGAAGAACCUUACCAAGGCUUGACAUCCCCUUGACCGGUGCAGAGAUGUACCCUUCUCUUCGGAGACAAGGGAGACAGGUGGUGCAUGGUUGUCGUCAGCUCGUGUCGUGAGAUGUUGGGUUAAGUCCCGCAACGAGCGCAACCCUUAUCCUUAGUUGCCAGCACUUCGGGUGGGCACUCUAAGGAGACUGCCGGUGAUAAACCGGAGGAAGGUGGGGAUGACGUCAAAUCAUCAUGCCCCUUAUGUCUUGGGCUACACACGUGCUACAAUGGUCGGCACAACGGGCAGCGAAGGAGCGAUCCGGAGCAAAUCCCAAUAAACCGAUCCCAGUUCGGAUUGCAGGCUGCAACUCGCCUGCAUGAAGUCGGAGUUGCUAGUAAUCGCGAAUCAGCACGUCGCGGUGAAUGCGUUCCCGGGUCUU